RNAcentral lists this unclassified non-coding RNA (219 nucleotides) under uncultured Tomentella. Its description in RNAcentral is "sequence contains ITS2". The record is from RNAcentral. Lineage: Eukaryota; Fungi; Basidiomycota; Agaricomycetes; Thelephorales; Thelephoraceae.
ACACCUCAACUCCCAUGGCUCGCCAUGGUGAGCUUGGACUUUGGGGGUCUUGCCGGCCUGUGGGUCGGCUCCUCUCAAAUGAAUUAGCCUGCCAGUGUUUGGUGGCAUCACAGGUGUGAUAAAUAUCUACGCUUGCGAUUGCCCACCAGGUAACCUUCAGCAAUGGGGGUUCACUGGGGCUCAUAGACGUCUCUCCCUCAGCGAGGACAACUCUUUAAA